ACAGUGCCACCAAGAAAGUGACAUGAGGCUGUGGCAAGGUGAGGAUGAAGAGGCAUUCUGUCAACCGAGCCUCCCCACCUGGAGCCCUGAGAGUUCCAAGGUUCCCCAGACUCUCCAAUUCUCAGCACUCUAACCUUCCGUGAGAAGCCACGCGGAAAGUUUUGGCUGAGAGUAAAUGUGCCUGUCCCACAGCAGGGAGUCCAGCCCAGGGCUGUAAAGGGCUUUCACUUUAAAGUCAGACAAACCAGGAUUCUGACUCCACCACCUUCAGCUUUGUGACUCUGGGCAAGUGACUUAACCUCUCUGAGGCACAAAUAAUGGCGGAGCAGUGCUUUUCGUUCCUGCUGCAUAUCAGAAUCACUUGGGGGAGAAUUUUAAGAUACACUAACACCCAGGCCCCCCGUCUCAGAGAUUCUGACAUCACUGGGCUGCAGCAUGGCUGGACAAGGGAGAUUUUCACUGGCGAUUCCCACGUGCUGUGGGGCUGGACGUCUCUGUCCCUGCUGCUGUUGGGAGGUGAGCUGAGAUACAGCGUGGAAACCACGUGACCUACAGAGGUGGUCAGCACGUUAGACCUCUUUCCACCCUACUAGCCUGUCUUUUUGGAAGCCACAUUCUUGACGCUGUCACAGCAAGCCACGAGGUCUAAAGGAGAAAUACGUCUGCAGAAGAGCCAGACCACCAGGGCCUCAAACUCGAAGAACCAUCAACUCGGCCAGAUGGGUGAACCUCAAUGUCAUCUUGCUCAUUUACUGCAACUUGGUUUCCCCAACUUGGUUCUAUGACCUCUGCAACUUCCGUGCCGACUACUGAGAACCGUCCAGUAAAUAGUCAGAGAGGACUAUUCUGCAGCCUUUGGAAAUGGUUACAGAGCUGGGAGGCAGUGUGGCAACUCUUUAUGAUAUAAAUGAAAUUAUGGGGGAUGCUGUGCUUGAAGUGUGGGCCUAUGGGCAGAAACUGGAAAGGGAUCAGGAAGAAAAGAUAAAGAAAGUAGAAUGAUUGCUGGGGCCAAGGAAUCUUAGACGGAUUUUUAAAACUCAAACUUCUAUUAUCUAUAUAAUAAUCAAUAAUAAUCAUAAGUAAAUAUAAUUUGAGAUGAGA
This is a long non-coding RNA of Pteropus alecto (black flying fox), 1101 nucleotides long. RefSeq lists it as uncharacterized. NCBI's taxonomy places the organism in Eukaryota, Metazoa, Chordata, Mammalia, Chiroptera, Pteropodidae. The transcript is spliced from 2 exons. The record is from RefSeq and is a predicted model, not a curated record.